GACGAACGCUGGCGGCGUGCUUAACACAUGCAAGUCGAACGGAAAGGCCCUGCUUUUGUUGGGUGCGCGAGUGGCGAACUGGUGAGUAACACGUGAGUACCCUGCCCUUGACGUUGGGAUAACUUCAGGAAACUGGGGCUAAUACCUGAUAGGAGCUCCUGCGCCAUGGUGUGGGUUGGAAAUUUUCGGCGGUUGGGGAUGGACUCGCGGCUUAUCAGCUUGUUGGUGGGGUAGUGGCUUACCAAGGCGUUGACGGGUAGCCGGCCUGAGAGGGUGACCGGCCACAUUGGGAAUGAGAUACGGCCCAGACUCCUACGGGAGGCAGCAGUGGGGAAUAUAGCACAAUGGGCGGAAGCCUGAUGCAGCAACGCCGCGUGCGGGAUGACGGCCUUAGGGUUGUAAACCGCUUUCGCCUGUGACGAAGCGUGAGUGACGGUAAUGGGUAAAGAAGCACCGGCUAACUACGUG
This 468-nucleotide ribosomal RNA is filed under the name uncultured bacterium. RNAcentral describes it as "partial 16S ribosomal RNA". It matches the Rfam family "Bacterial small subunit ribosomal RNA", at positions 28 to 507 of the family's 1533-position model. The record is from RNAcentral.